RNAcentral lists this ribosomal RNA (422 nucleotides) under uncultured prokaryote. Its description in RNAcentral is "bacterial SSU rRNA". It matches the Rfam family "Bacterial small subunit ribosomal RNA", at positions 355 to 774 of the family's 1533-position model. The record is from RNAcentral.
UAACGAAUCUUGGGCAAUGGACGCAAGUCUGAACCAGCCAUGCCGCGUGCAGGACGACGGCCCUAUGGGUUGUAAACUACUUUUGUUUAGGGACAAUACCGGUUACGUGUAACCGUUUGAGGGUACUAAACGAAUAAGGAUCGGCUAACUCCGUGCCAGCAGCCGUGGUAAUACGGGGGAUGCAAGCGUUAUCCGGAUUUAUUGGGUUUAAAGGGUGCGUAGGCGGUUUGAUAAGUCAGCGGUGAAAUAUUUCAGCUUAACUGAAAGGGUGCCGUUGAUACUGUCAGGCUUGAAUAUGGUUGCUGUGGGUGGAAUGUGUGGUGUAGCGGUGAAAUGCUUAGAUAUCACACAGAAUAUCGAUUGCGAAGGCAGCUCACAAAGCCAUUAUUGACGCUGAUGCACGAAAGUGUGGGGAUCAAACA